This 86-nucleotide small nucleolar RNA is filed under the name Oryza sativa Indica Group (long-grained rice). RNAcentral describes it as "Small nucleolar RNA SNORD46". RNAcentral also lists the same sequence under 1 other name. The record is from RNAcentral. Lineage: Eukaryota; Viridiplantae; Streptophyta; Magnoliopsida; Poales; Poaceae.
ACACAGGAAACUGAAAAACAAUGAAAUACAACACUGUGGAUAUGAGAACACAUGAAUGAAUGAUAGCAUAAAUACUCAGACUAGAU